GACGAACGCUGGCGGCGUGCUUAACACAUGCAAGUCGAACGGAAAGGCCCUUCGGGGUACUCGAGUGGCGAACGGGUGAGUAACACGUGGGUGAUCUGCCCUGCACUUUGGGAUAAGCCUGGGAAACUGGGUCUAAUACCGAAUAGGACCACGAGCUUCAUGGUGUGUGGUGGAAAGCUUUUGCGGUGUGGGAUGGGCCCGCGGCCUAUCAGCUUGUUGGUGGGGUAAUGGCCCACCAAGGCGACGACGGGUAGCCGGCCUGAGAGGGUGACAGGCCACACUGGGACUGAGGUACGGCCCAGACUCCUACGGGGGGCAGCAGUGGGGAAUAUUGCACAAUGGGCGCAAGCCGGAUGCAGCGACGCCGCGUGAGGGAUGACGGCCUUCGGGUUGUAAACCGCUUUCAAUAGGGACGAAGCGCAAGUGACGGUACCUAUAGAAGAAGCACCGGCCAACUACGUG
Molecule: ribosomal RNA, 462 nt
Filed under: uncultured bacterium
Lineage: Bacteria
Description: partial 16S ribosomal RNA
Rfam family: Bacterial small subunit ribosomal RNA
Source: RNAcentral